GACAUAGGUGGCGAACGUUAUCCGGAAUUAUUGGGCGUAAAGGGUGCGCAGGCGGCAUAAUAAGUUAUUGGCGGGAAAUCGAGGCUCAACCUCGUGGAAACUGAUAAUACUGUUUUGCUUGAGUACAGGAGAGGUUAACGGAACUCCAUGUGGAGCGGUAAAAUGUGUAGAUAUAUGGAAGAACAUCAAUAACGGCGAAGGCAGUUAACUAUUCUGUUACUGACGUUGAGGCACGAAAGCGUGGGGAGCAAAAAGG
RNAcentral lists this ribosomal RNA (256 nucleotides) under uncultured bacterium. RNAcentral describes it as "partial 16S ribosomal RNA". It matches the Rfam family "Bacterial small subunit ribosomal RNA", at positions 524 to 776 of the family's 1533-position model. The record is from RNAcentral.